CUGCUGAUCAUGUGGAUGCAAUUCUCGAUGGGCUUUCUGCAGAAUAUGAUGGCUUCGUUACCGCCAUUCUUUCUCGUCAAGAUCCAUAUACGGUGGAUGAUCUUGAAGCCCUUCUCCUCGCACAAGAAGAACGCUUUGAAAGGCACAAACUGGCCCAAGACUCCAUUCUUCAGGUAAAUACCGUCUCCUCCUCUUGGAACCCUAAAAACCAAUACAAAAAGAAACCGUUCCACUAUAACUUUCGUGGAGGUC
This 252-nucleotide long non-coding RNA is filed under the name Phaseolus vulgaris (common bean). RNAcentral describes it as "long non-coding RNA (PVUL_LNC005360)". The record is from RNAcentral. Lineage: Eukaryota; Viridiplantae; Streptophyta; Magnoliopsida; Fabales; Fabaceae.